This 755-nucleotide ribosomal RNA is filed under the name Anaerosalibacter bizertensis. RNAcentral describes it as "Sporanaerobacter sp. C5BEL Bacterial large subunit ribosomal RNA". It matches the Rfam family "Bacterial large subunit ribosomal RNA", at positions 1491 to 2231 of the family's 2925-position model. The record is from Rfam by way of RNAcentral. Lineage: Bacteria; Bacillati; Bacillota; Tissierellia; Tissierellales; Sporanaerobacteraceae.
CGUACUGUUGGUUAUGUACGUCCAAUCCUGUAGAGAGCUCCUAUAGGCAAAUCCGUAGGAGAGUCUCAAGAGGUGAUGGGGAGCGAAAAAUAAGUAGUGAAGUAGCUGAAUCCAUACUGCCAAGAAAAGCCUCUAUCGAGUAUGUAAAUACCCGUACCGCAAACCAACACAGGUAGGCGAGGAGAAAAUCCUAAGACGUUCGGAAGAACCCUUGUUAAGGAACUAGGCAAAAUAACCCCGUAACUUCGGGAGAAGGGGUGCCGACUAAGGUGAAGCACUUGCUGCGUAAGCUUUAGUUGGCCGCAGUGAAUAGGCCCAAGCGACUGUUUACCAAAAACAUAGGUCUCUGCUAAGUCGAAAGACGAUGUAUAGGGGCUGACACCUGCCCGGUGCUGGAAGGUUAAGGGGAAGAGUUAGCGUAUGCGAAGCUCAGAACUUAAGCCCCAGUAAACGGCGGCCGUAACUAUAACGGUCCUAAGGUAGCGAAAUUCCUUGUCGGGUAAGUUCCGACCCGCACGAAAGGUGUAACGACUUGGGCACUGUCUCAACAAGGGAUCCGGUGAAAUUGUAGUACUCGUGAAGAUGCGAGUUACCCGCGACAGGACGGAAAGACCCCGUGGAGCUUUACUGUAGGCUGACAUUGGAUUUCGGUAUUGCUUGUACAGCAUAGGUGGGAGACUAAGAUACCAGGGCGCUAGCUUUGGUGGAGUCAUCAUUGGGAUACCACUCUUGCAAUGCUGAAGUUCUAACCAGAG